Molecule: ribosomal RNA, 301 nt
Filed under: uncultured bacterium
Lineage: Bacteria
Description: partial 16S ribosomal RNA
Rfam family: Bacterial small subunit ribosomal RNA
Source: RNAcentral
CAGCAGCCGCGGUAAUACGUAGGUGGCAAGCGUCGUCCGGAAUUAUUGGGCGUAAAGGGCUCGCAGGCGGUUUCUUAAGUCUGAUGUGAAAGCCCCCGGCUCAACCGGGGAGGGUCAUUGGAAACUGGGAAACUUGAGUGCAGAAGAGGAGAGUGGAAUUCCACGUGUAGCGGUGAAAUGCGUAGAGAUGUGGAGGAACACCAGUGGCGAAGGCGACUCUCUGGUCUGUAACUGACGCUGAGGAGCGAAAGCGUGGGGAGCGAACAGGAUUAGAUACCCCCGUAGUCCCUGUCUCUUAUAC